UUCAGUGGUGGUCUUCUCUUUCAAGCCUGGAGAACUUCGGCCUAAGGCCCUUUCUUAAAACUUUCUUACUUUUGUUCCUCAUUUAAUCUGGUGCCCUCAUUUCUUCUUCUCCCAAUUUGUAAUCCUAACUUCAUCUUCCUUGCCGUUUUGUACAUAACAGAGCCUCCCUUUUUUACAACACCUUGCCUACAAGGUGUGGAUAAGAAGAUUUGAGUUGGUGGUACUCCUCCCAAGUGGCAUCCUCGCGAGUUUGCCCUUGCCAACGGUCUAACACAUCCACGACUGGCAAGAAUCCCUUCCUGCACAUCCUUCUAUCAAGGAUUUCCUCAUACUCGGGUUUAAAAACCCCAAAUGAGUCAACUGGUGGCAACGUUGGAAUGGGUUGGACCAAAAGUCCAACAUUUUUCUUCAACAGACUUACAUGGAACACGGGGUGCACCUGUGCUGUCUUCAGUAGUUGCAACCGGUUUUCUUUCAGCAAUUGGGAAAUUUUGUCUCGGGUCUUUAGGUCAAUACUACUGCCUCCACUCUUAAUGAUGCUUGUUGUUAGUUGAGUAGCUUAGGAUGUGGAUAGCCAUACAAGCUUCGAAUGGGGUGAGUUGUGUUGUUGAGUGGGUGGUGGUAUUGUACCACAACUCUGCCAAGGGUACUCAUGUGGCCCAGUCCCUGGGCCUGUCACCCACAAAACAACGAAGAUAAUUCUCCAUAGUCUUAUUAUCAGCUUUUGACUAGCCAUCAGAUUGAGGGUGGUAUGUUGAGCUGAAGGUCAGUUGGACUCCCUACUAUUUGAAAAGUUCUCCCUAGAACUUGUUGGUAAAUGACUUGUCCCAGUUAGAAACAAUUGUGUUAAGCAUACCAUGAAGCCUAAAGAUGUGUUUGAUGAAUUGGUUGGCUAAGGUUAGGCCAGUGUAUGGGUGGGAGAGGGGAAUGAAGUGGCUCAAUUUAGUCAGCCUGUCUACAAUGACUCACAGGCAGUUAAACCUCUUAGAAGGUGUAAAACAUUCUAUGAAAUCUAUGGAGAUGUGGGACCUAGGUUUAGAGGGAAUAGACAGAGGCUGUAGUAACCCCUUGGUAGGCUAUUCUUGGGUUUAACACACUGACAAAUAUCACAAGCCUUGAUGUAUUCCCUCACAUCAGUUCUUAAACGAGGCCAAAAGACCUCUCUUUUCAUCCUUUGCAAGGUUUUCUCACAACCUAAGUGGCCCCCCCAGUGAGCCAUUAUGAAAGAGAGGUAGGAGUUUUUCUUUGUAAGGUUUGUGGUUAGAGAUGUAGAGCCCGUUCUUGUAGUAUAGGAGUCCAUCCCUCGAGGUGUAGUUGCGGCUCAAUUUCCCCUCCAAUUGCUACUGUGACAAGGCCUGCAUAUCAGGAUUAGCUUCAUAAAGGGCCUUUAACUCAUGUAAUAACUCCAAUAUAGGAACAAAGAUCAUGGUUAGGGUAGCCUCCCUGUUUUCCCCCUCCUCAUAACACCUCGAAAGAGCAUAAAAAACAAUGUUUUCCUUGCCUUUUUUAUAUUCCGCCAAGUAAUCAUACCCCAACAGUUUAGCUAGCCAUCUCUGCUGCAUAUGAGUUCCCACUUUCUGAUUUAACAGAAAUUUAAGACUCCAGUGGUCCGUUUUGACUACAAACUUUCCCCCCUAGUAAAUAAGGUCUACCUCUUCACAGUUGAAACAAGGGCUAGUAAUUCCUUCUCAUAGAUGGACACAGCCAAGGCCCUUCCCUUCAAGGCUUGGCUAAAAUAGGCUAUUGGAUAUCUCUAUUGCAGCAGUACAGCCCCAGCUGCCCUACCCGAGGCAUCACACUCAAUAUAAAAUGGUUGAGUGAAAUCUGGGAGGGCUAAAAUAGGAGGUUUAACCAUAACUUAAGCUUCUUAAAAGCUUCUUCUGCCUGGGGAGACCAAUGAAACUCAUUCUUCCUUAGGAGAUCUGUUAGAGAAGCUGCAAUACCUCCAUAACCUCAGAUAAAUCUCCAAUAAUAGUCAGUGAGUCCCAAAAAUCCCUUAAAGGAUUUUAGUGAAGUGGGAAGGGGCCACUCAAGUAUGGCUCUAAUCUUCUCUGGGCCAGCUUUCACACCUUGGGCAGAUAUAUGGUGGCCCAAAUAAGACACCUCCCUACUGCCAAACUUGCAUUUGGACAGCUUAGCAAAAAGUUGGUGUUGUCUCAGCUUCUCUAGAGUCAUCCUUAGGUGUUCUGGGUGCUGGUCUGCAUCUUGGCUGUAGACUAAAAUGUCA
Juglans microcarpa x Juglans regia is the source of this 2227-nucleotide long non-coding RNA. RefSeq lists it as uncharacterized. The record is from RefSeq and is a predicted model, not a curated record. The transcript has 2 exons. Lineage: Eukaryota; Viridiplantae; Streptophyta; Magnoliopsida; Fagales; Juglandaceae.